AUUGAACGCUGGCGGCAGGCCUAACACAUGCAAGUCGAGCGGAUACAGGCAGCUUGCUCCUGGAUUCAGCGGCGGACGGGUGUGUUAUGCCUAGGAAUCUGCCUGGUAGUGGGGGAUAACGUCCGGAAAACGGGCGCUAAUACCUCAUACGUCCUGAGGAAGAAAGUGGGGGAUCUUCGGACCUCACGCUAUCAGAUGAGCCUAGGUCGGAUUAGCUAGUUGGUGGGGUAAAGGCCUACCAAGGCGACGAUCCGUAACUGGUCUGAGAGGAUGAUCAGUCACACUGGAACUGAGACACGGUCCAGACUCCUACGGGAGGCAGCAGUGGGGAAUAUUGGACAAUGGGCGAAAGCCUGAUCCAGCAAUGCCGCGUGUGUGAAGAAGGUCUUCGGAUUGUAAAGCACUUUAAGUUGGGAGGAAGGGCAGUAAGUUAAUACCUUGCUGUAUUGACGUUACCAACAGAAUAAGCACCGGCUAACUACGUG
This 485-nucleotide ribosomal RNA is filed under the name uncultured bacterium. RNAcentral describes it as "partial 16S ribosomal RNA". It matches the Rfam family "Bacterial small subunit ribosomal RNA", at positions 30 to 507 of the family's 1533-position model. The record is from RNAcentral.